AUCUGUUGGAGAAGAUCCUGCAGGGC
This 26-nucleotide non-coding RNA is filed under the name Rattus norvegicus (Norway rat). Lineage: Eukaryota; Metazoa; Chordata; Mammalia; Rodentia; Muridae. The record is from RNAcentral.